This 253-nucleotide ribosomal RNA is filed under the name uncultured bacterium. Its description in RNAcentral is "partial 16S ribosomal RNA". It matches the Rfam family "Bacterial small subunit ribosomal RNA", at positions 524 to 776 of the family's 1533-position model. The record is from RNAcentral.
UACGUAGGGUGCGAGCGUUGCCCGGAAUUAUUGGGCGUAAAGAGCUCGUAGGCGGUUUGUCGCGUCGGCCGUGAAAUCUCCACGCUUAACGUGGAGCGUGCGGUCGAUACGGGCAGACUUGAGUUCGGUAGGGGAGACUGGAAUUCCUGGUGUAGCGGUGAAAUGCGCAGAUAUCAGGAGGAACACCGGUGGCGAAGGCGGGUCUCUGGGCCGAUACUGACGCUGAGGAGCGAAAGCGUGGGGAGCGAACAGG